Molecule: ribosomal RNA, 253 nt
Filed under: uncultured bacterium
Lineage: Bacteria
Description: partial 16S ribosomal RNA
Rfam family: Bacterial small subunit ribosomal RNA
Source: RNAcentral
UACAGAGGGUGCAAGCGUUAAUCGGAAUUACUGGGCGUAAAGCGCGCGUAGGUGGUUCGUUAAGUUGGAUGUGAAAGCCCCGGGCUCAACCUGGGAACUGCAUUCAAAACUGUCGAGCUAGAGUAUGGUAGAGGGUGGUGGAAUUUCCUGUGUAGCGGUGAAAUGCGUAGAUAUAGGAAGGAACACCAGUGGCGAAGGCGACCACCUGGACCGAUACUGACACUGAGGUGCGAAAGCGUGGGGAGCAAACAGG